Molecule: non-coding RNA, 74 nt
Organism: Myotis davidii
Lineage: Eukaryota; Metazoa; Chordata; Mammalia; Chiroptera; Vespertilionidae
Source: Rfam
GGAUAGUCUCAGGUGACACACCUCAGAAUCGGGCUCCCUCCUCUCUGUUCCAUGUGUGUCACCUGAGAACCACA